AAGAAUUUAAAGGUCGAACAGACCUAUAAUCUAAUUUUCUUCUAUUAGAUGUUUUCUUAAUUCAACAUCGAGGUAGCAUUUAAUCUUCUUGAUUUGAUCUCUAAAAAAUUUUUGCU
Molecule: ribosomal RNA, 116 nt
Filed under: Frankliniella occidentalis (western flower thrips)
Lineage: Eukaryota; Metazoa; Arthropoda; Insecta; Thysanoptera; Thripidae
Description: partial 16S ribosomal RNA
Source: RNAcentral